GGGGCUGUUUGGUUUUGACAGCGGGCAGAAGAGGUAUGUAAGCACGCAGUGCAUUGUCGCAUAAGCACUUUAAUCUCAUGCGGUAAACUAUAACUGGCGAAAGAAACUACGCUCUCGCUGCCUGACCGAAGCACAGUAAGUCAGGCUUAAUUCCGUCACAGAAGCUGGCGGAACGGGACAUCUCUCGGAUGCCGCCUCCCUGAGGCUAUCCGGUUCAGAGGUGUGGGCAAUAUCGGGGAUGGCCGGCCGUGGCCGCGCACGGCAGGUGAGAUUUCAGCGGAUAAGGCGGCCGUUGGUGGCUUCGGUCUUGCGUCCGCACGAAAACGAAGGCGAAGAUAAGCGUGUAGAAAGCAUAUUGCUUCCUCGUUUGGACACGGGUUCGACUCCCGUCAGCUCCAC
RNAcentral lists this transfer-messenger RNA (399 nucleotides) under chicken gut metagenome. It matches the Rfam family "transfer-messenger RNA". From Rfam's summary of the family: Bacterial tmRNA, also known as 10Sa RNA or SsrA, is named for its dual tRNA and mRNA-like properties. Its role is to liberate the mRNA from a stalled ribosome. To accomplish this part of the tmRNA is used as a reading frame that ends in a translation stop signal. The record is from RNAcentral.